ACGCACGCUGGCGGCGUGCUUAACACAUGCAAGUCGAACGGAAAGGCCCUGCUUUUGUGGGGUGCUCGAGUGGCGAACGGGUGAGUAACACGUGAGUAACCUGCCCUUGACUUUGGGAUAACUUCAGGAAACUGGGGCUAAUACCGGAUAGGAGCUCCUGCUGCAUGGUGGGGGUUGGAAAGUUUCGGCGGUUGGGGAUGGACUCGCGGCUUAUCAGCUUGUUGGUGGGGUAGUGGCUUACCAAGGCUUUGACGGGUAGCCGGCCUGAGAGGGUGACCGGCCACAGUGGGACGGAGAUACGGCCCAGCCUCCUCGGGGAGGCAGAAGGGGGGAAUAUUGCAAAAGGGGCGGAAGCCUGAUGCAGCAACGCCGCGUGGGGGAUGACGGCCUUGGGGUUGUAACCCGCUUUCGCCGGUGACGAAGCGUGAGGGAGGGAAAUGGGUAAAGAAGCCCCGGCUAACACCGGC
This 467-nucleotide ribosomal RNA is filed under the name uncultured bacterium. RNAcentral describes it as "partial 16S ribosomal RNA". It matches the Rfam family "Bacterial small subunit ribosomal RNA", at positions 29 to 508 of the family's 1533-position model. The record is from RNAcentral.